Populus euphratica (Euphrates poplar) is the source of this 148-nucleotide long non-coding RNA. RefSeq lists it as uncharacterized. The transcript is spliced from 3 exons. The record is from RefSeq and is a predicted model, not a curated record. Lineage: Eukaryota; Viridiplantae; Streptophyta; Magnoliopsida; Malpighiales; Salicaceae.
UUUUAUUUAGAUUUAUUUAUUGAGAUUAAUUUAAUUAUUGUUAGAUAUUUUAUUUAGUGGGAUAUAAGCCCAAUUAUUUGUUCUAGUUAAGGUUUUAGUAUUUAUAUUCUAUUUUUCUAAAUGUUAGGGACAUUUGUUGAUUGAUUGA